CCUACGGGUGGCAGCAGUGAGGAAUAUUGGUCAAUGGACGCAAGUCUGAACCAGCCAUGCCGCGUGCAGGAAGACGGCUCUAUGAGUUGUAAACUGCUUUUGUACGAGGGUAAAUCCCGAUACGUGUAUCGGGUUGAAAGUAUCGUACGAAUAAGGAUCGGCUAACUCCGUGCCAGCAGCCGCGGUAAUACGGAGGAUUCAAGCGUUAUCCGGAUUUAUUGGGUUUAAAGGGUGCGUAGGCGGUUCGAUAAGUUAGAGGUGAAAUCCCGGGGCUCAACCCCGGCGAGCCGUUGAAACUGGCGGGGUGGAGUUGGAGAGAAGUACGCGGAAUGCGCGGUGUAGCGGUGAAAUGCUUAGAUAUCGCGCAGAACCCCGAUUGCGAAGGCAGCGUACCGGCUCCACACUGACGCUGAGGCACGAAAGCGUGGGUAUCGAACAGGAUUAGAUACCCUGGUAGUC
This 459-nucleotide ribosomal RNA is filed under the name uncultured bacterium. RNAcentral's name for it is "partial 16S ribosomal RNA". It matches the Rfam family "Bacterial small subunit ribosomal RNA", at positions 338 to 795 of the family's 1533-position model. The record is from RNAcentral.